Small nuclear RNA from Nilaparvata lugens (brown planthopper), 163 nucleotides. RefSeq annotates it as U1 spliceosomal RNA. The transcript has a single exon. The record is from RefSeq and is a predicted model, not a curated record. Lineage: Eukaryota; Metazoa; Arthropoda; Insecta; Hemiptera; Delphacidae.
AUACUGACCUUGCGUAGGGGUUAACCGUGAUCAAGGAGGCGGUUCCCCCAGGAUGAGGCUAACCAUUGCACUGCGGUUAGUUGACUUCUGCGAAUAUGAAGGAUAAAGUUAUCUUUCCGUGCGCAAAAUUUUUGAGUUUCGGGAUAGCGGGUUCGCGUCCCGG